GACGAACGCUGGCGGCGUGCUUAACACAUGCCAGUCGAACGGAAAGGCCCUGCUUUUGUGGGGUGCUCGAGUGGCGAACGGGUGAGUAACACGUGAGUAACCUGCCCUUGACUUUGGGAUAACUUCAGGAAACUGGGGCUAAUACCGGAUAGGAGCUCCUGCUGCAUGGUGGGGGUUGGAAAGUUUCGGCGGUUGGGGAUGGACUCGCGGCUUAUCAGCUUGUUGGUGGGGUAGUGGCUUACCAAGGCUUUGACGGGUAGCCGGCCUGAGAGGGUGACCGGCCACAUUGGGACUGAGAUACGGACCAGACUCCUAAGGGAGGCAGCAGUGGGGAAUAUUGCAUAAUGGGCGGAAGCCUGAUGCAGCAACGCAGCGUGCGGGAUGACGGACUUCGGGUUGUAAACCGCUUUCGCCUGUGACGAAGCGUGAGUGACGGUAAUGGGUAAAGAAGCACCGGCUAACUACGUG
This 468-nucleotide ribosomal RNA is filed under the name uncultured bacterium. RNAcentral's name for it is "partial 16S ribosomal RNA". It matches the Rfam family "Bacterial small subunit ribosomal RNA", at positions 28 to 507 of the family's 1533-position model. The record is from RNAcentral.